GCAAGUCGAACGAGAACGGUUCCUUCGGGGACUUAUUAAAGUGGCGAACGGGUGAGUAACACGUGAGUAACGUGCCCUUAAGUGGGGGAUAACUAGGCGAAAGUCUAGCUAAUACCGCAUAAGACCACAAGAACUUCGGUUCAAGGGGUCAAAGGCUUCGGCCGCUUAAGGAUCGGCUCGCGGUCCAUUAGGUAGUUGGUAAGGUAAUGGCUUACCAAGCCUCAGAUGGAUAGCUGUUCUGAGAGGAAGAUC
This 252-nucleotide ribosomal RNA is filed under the name uncultured bacterium. RNAcentral describes it as "partial 16S ribosomal RNA". It matches the Rfam family "Bacterial small subunit ribosomal RNA", at positions 57 to 305 of the family's 1533-position model. The record is from RNAcentral.